Molecule: long non-coding RNA, 1158 nt
Organism: Pseudopodoces humilis (Tibetan ground-tit)
Lineage: Eukaryota; Metazoa; Chordata; Aves; Passeriformes; Paridae
Source: RefSeq, a predicted model, not a curated record
GGGAGCAGCCGAGGCCCUGCGGAAACACGAGAGACAGCGAGGCGCAGGGUGUCUGUGCCGGGGCACGGAGCGCGGCCGGAGCCGGGGAGCGGAGCACCGAGAGCCCCGUGGGAGGCAGCCCCGGUGUCCCGGCAGCCGCUGGCCCGGGGGACGGGAGCCGCGCUCCCCGGCAGGACGGUGCAAACCCAGACCCACUCAUCAUGUCUUCAGAACAGCCUCAAGAUGGGGAAGAAACUCUGCUCUGAGCUUUUUCUGCAGCUCCUCAGUGCUGUGUCCAUGCACUCAGCCGGCUGUGGCUUUGUGCUGGUUGAGAUUUCGCUCCUCUGUUUACUCUGAGUACCACAACCUGUCACGUUUCACGGGAGCAGCUCCUCAGCGUGCAGCAGACAGACAAGCUUGUGUUUGCCAGCCCAGGCACCACCUGCUCCUGCAGGCAGGCAGAGCUUUUAUCCUGGAAUCUUCCCCACCCCAUGUCAGAGGAGGGGAGCUCCUGCAUUGCACAGAGCCCCCUGGGCCAGGAGGCGUGUGGGGGGCUUCCCUCUCCUUGGGGAUCCAGCCUUGCUGCUGACCACACUUCAGGGCAUUGUCAGCACGUGGAAAUGUUGCUGAAAGUUGCCACAUCAGAACAAUUGUAAUAAGUAUUUGUAAAUGCAUACAGCCUGUCCUGCUUUUGGUGGAGUCCUUCAGGGGUGGUCCAUGGAACUUCAGCUGAGGUUGCCAGGAGGGUGGUGAGUUUAGACCUGGUGCUGGCUGCCCAUCUCUGCUGCACCUCUAGCAAAAAGGGGCCCCUAGGACCCUUCUGGGCUGGGCAUCUGGGGCUGGGUGUGCAGCAGCCUCUAGGCACUCUAAGUUUGGUGGGUGCAGCAGACUCAGCCCCACACAGUGGGGGACUCUAACUUCAUUUUCAAGUAGGGAAAAGACACUGGAAUGAGCAGGACUUUGAGUGGAUUGGUGCUGUGAGUCAUUUCAGAUCACUAUACACGGAACUGGAAAUUCAAAUGUGAUCACAGGUGCUGUGUGGUUGCUCCUGGAGACGUUCCUGUACUAGAGAUGUUUGCAUUUGUACAUUCAGUCUGCAAUAUUCGUGCUACAAACUGUCUCAGAGGGUUGUGUUUUCUGUGUCCAUACCCACAUGUUCACUCAGGCCUAUUAAAUACU